UACGGAGGAUGCGAGCGUUAUCCGGAUUUAUUGGGUUUAAAGGGUGCGUAGGCGGACGCUUAAGUCAGCGGUAAAAUUGCGGGGCUCUACCUCGUCGAGCCGUUGAAACUGGGUGCCUUGAGUGGGCGAGAAGUACGCGGAAUGCGUGGUGUAGCGGUGAAAUGCAUAGAUAUCACGCAGAACUCCGAUUGCGAAGGCAGCGUACCGGCGCCCAACUGACGCUGAAGCACGAAGGCGUGGGUAUCGAACAGG
This 252-nucleotide ribosomal RNA is filed under the name uncultured bacterium. RNAcentral describes it as "partial 16S ribosomal RNA". It matches the Rfam family "Bacterial small subunit ribosomal RNA", at positions 524 to 776 of the family's 1533-position model. The record is from RNAcentral.